GCCGGACGCAGUGGCACGCGCCUGUAGUCCCAGCUACUCAGGAGGCUGAGGUGGGAGAACUGCUUGAGCCCAGGAGUUCUGGGCUGUAGAGCGCUAUGCCAAUCGGGUGUCCGCACGAAGUUCGGCAUCAAUAUGGUGACCUCCCGGGAGCAGGGGACCACCGGGUUGCCUAAGGAGGGGUGAACUGGCCCAGGUCGGAAAUGGAGCAGGUCAAAACUCCAGUGUUGAUCAGUAGUGGGAUCGCGCCUGUGAAUAGCCACUGCACUCCAGCCUGGGCAACAUAGCAAGACCCCGUCUCUU
This 300-nucleotide signal recognition particle RNA is filed under the name Cebus imitator (Panamanian white-faced capuchin). RNAcentral describes it as "Metazoan signal recognition particle RNA (ENSCCAG00000005528.1)". It matches the Rfam family "Metazoan signal recognition particle RNA". From Rfam's summary of the family: The signal recognition particle (SRP) is a universally conserved ribonucleoprotein. It is involved in the co-translational targeting of proteins to membranes. The eukaryotic SRP consists of a 300-nucleotide 7S RNA and six proteins: SRPs 72, 68, 54, 19, 14, and 9. Lineage: Eukaryota; Metazoa; Chordata; Mammalia; Primates; Cebidae. The record is from Rfam by way of RNAcentral.